Molecule: ribosomal RNA, 82 nt
Filed under: Streptomyces purpurogeneiscleroticus
Lineage: Bacteria; Bacillati; Actinomycetota; Actinomycetes; Kitasatosporales; Streptomycetaceae
Description: partial 23S ribosomal RNA
Rfam family: Bacterial large subunit ribosomal RNA
Source: RNAcentral
GAGCGAUCAAGUGCCUUAAGAGCAUUCGGUGGAUGCCUUGGCGCUGAGAGGCGAUGAAGGACGUGGUACGCUGCGAUAAGCC